GAUGGACGCUGGCGGCGUGCCUAAUACAUGCAAGUCGAACGAGGUCUUCGGACCGAGUGGCGAACGGGUGAGUAACACGUUGGUACCUACCCCGAAGUGGGGAAUAACUGGCCGAAAGGUCGGCUAAUACCGCAUAAUACCGCAAGGUUAAAGCAGUAAUGCGCUUCGGGAGGGGCCUGCGUCCCAUUAGCUAGUUGGUGAGGUAAUUGCUCACCAAGGCAACGAUGGGUAGCUGGANCGAGAGGUUGACCAGCCACACUGGGACUGAGAUACGGCCCAGACUCCUACGGGAGGCAGCAGUAAGGAAUCUUCCACAAUGGACGAAAGUCUGAUGGAGCAACGCCGCGUGCAGGAUGACGGCC
RNAcentral lists this ribosomal RNA (362 nucleotides) under uncultured bacterium. Its description in RNAcentral is "bacterial SSU rRNA". It matches the Rfam family "Bacterial small subunit ribosomal RNA", at positions 28 to 416 of the family's 1533-position model. The record is from RNAcentral.